ACUCUGCAGGUAGUUCUGGCAUCUGUGGACAGAUCCCAGACAAGGAAAUGGGUCAAAUCAAGUUCAGGAUCCAUCCAGGUAGUCCAGUCAGAAGCAGCAGGAGGCGAGGCCAGGGAGAGGACUAAAGACAAAGCUGGAGUAUCUCUGGCAGGUCCAUCCAGGAGACAGGGCAGGAGACAAAGCUGCAGCACAGUUCUGAGGCUCAUCCAGAAAACAGAAGCAGAGACAGACCGCUUUGUCCGUCCCUUUCCAUCAAAGGCAGAGACCUCCACUGGAGUUAUUGGAGUUCUCCCUGCCACACGCAUCUUUGCUUCUCAGUGUGUAUGGCCUUUAAUCACAACCUAACAGAUAAGUUACUUAUCCACAUGAUUAUCCCAUAGUGGUAGCUCUUCAAAAACCUUAGGUGAGUGGCCUUUUCAAGAGUGUUUUAGAAACCCAGCUGGAUUUUGUCAUUUGGAUAUUUUCAUGUCCUGAAACAAAAUUCAGUAGCUG
This 492-nucleotide long non-coding RNA is filed under the name Phasianus colchicus (ring-necked pheasant). RNAcentral describes it as "lncRNA (ENSPCLG00000000461.1)". The record is from RNAcentral. Lineage: Eukaryota; Metazoa; Chordata; Aves; Galliformes; Phasianidae.